GACGAACGCUGGCGGCGUGCUUAACCCAUGCAAGUCGAACGGAAAGGCCCUGCUUUUGUGGGGUGCUCGAGUGGCGACAGGCUGACUAACACGUGAGCAACCUGCCCUUGACUCUGGGAUAACUUCAGGAAACCGGGGCUAAUACCGGAUAGGCGCUCAUGCUGCAUGGUGGGGGUUGGAACGUUUCGGCGGUCGGGGCUCCACUCGACUCCCCUCAGCCUCUUGGCGGGGUACUGGCUUACCAAGGCUUUGACGGGUAGGCGGCCUGACAGGGUGACAGGCCACAUGGCAGCUGAGAGACGUGACGGACUGCUCAGUGAGGCAGCAGUGGGGAAUAUUGCACACUGGGCGGAAUGCUUGUGCGUCAAGACAGCGUGCGGGAUGACGGCCUUCGGAGUGUAAAGCGCAGGCGCCUGUGACGAAGCGUGAGUGGCGGUAAUGGAGAAAGAAGCACCGGCUAACUACGUG
This 468-nucleotide ribosomal RNA is filed under the name uncultured bacterium. RNAcentral's name for it is "partial 16S ribosomal RNA". It matches the Rfam family "Bacterial small subunit ribosomal RNA", at positions 28 to 507 of the family's 1533-position model. The record is from RNAcentral.